UCAAGCUAAUAAGAGCACAGGGUGGAUGCCCAGGCACCAAACGCCGACGAAAGACGUGGCAAGCUGCGAAAAGUCACGGGGAACUGCAAGCAGGUAUUGAUCCGUGAACGUCUGAAUGGGGAAACCCGGCGGGUUAACAGCCCGUCACUAUUAACUGAAUCAAUAGGUUAAUAGGGGGAACGCGGGGAACUGAAACAUCUCAGUACCCGUAGGAAGAGAAAAUAAAGAAUGAUUUCCUAAGUAGCGGCGAGCGAACGGGAAAGAGGCCAAACCGAAGGGCUUGCUCUUCGGGGUUGUGGAUCAGCGAUAAGUACGGAAGACCUUAGCAGAAGAGGAUUGGAAAGUCCCGCCAGAGAGGGUAAAAGCCCCUUACGCGAAAAGGUCAAACGACGAGCUGACACCAGAGUACCGCAGGACACGAGAAAUCCGGUGGGAAGCCGGGAGGACCACCUCCCAAGCCUAAAUACGAAUUGGUGACCGAUAGCGCAUAGUACCGUGAGGGAAAGGUGAAAAGAACCCCGGGAGGGGAGUGAAAGAGAACCUGAAACCGUAUGUCUACAAGCAGUCGGAGCGAAAGCGACGGCGUGCCUAUUGAAGAAUGAACCAACGAGUUACGUGCACUAGCGAGGUUAAGUGGAAGACACGGAGCCGAAGCGAAAGCGAGUCUUAAGAGGGCGGAUAGUUAGUGUACGUAGACCCGAAACCGCAGUGAUCUACCCAUGUCCAGGUUGAAGCGCAGGUAAAAUUGCGUGGAGGACCGAACCUGUGAGCGUUGAAAAGCUUUAGGAUGAGAUGUGGGUAGAGGUGAAAUUCCAAUCGAACGCGGAGAUAGCUGGUUCUCCCCGAAAUAGCUUUAGGGCUAGCCUCAAGUAGUAAGUAUAGGCGGUAGAGCACUGAUCGGGCUAGGGGCCAUAAAGGUUACCGAACCCUGUCAAACUCCGAAUGGUUAUACUGUAGAGCUUGGGAGUCAGACUACGAGUGAUAAGAUCCGUGGUCAAAAGGGAAACAGCCCAGACCACCAGCUAAGGUCCCCAAUGUCGUACUAAGUGGAAAAGGAUGUGGGGUCUCUAAAACAACCAGGAUGUUGGCUUAGAAGCAGCCACCAUUUAAAGAGUGCGUAAUAGCUCACUGGUCGAGAGACCCUGCGCCGAAGAUUACCGGGGCUAAAGUACGAAACCGAAGCUGUGGCUACGACGUAAGUCGUGGGGUAGGGGAGCGUUCUGUGAGGGCUGAAGUCGUUCUGUAAGGAACGGUGGACUUCACAGAAGUGAGAAUGUUGGUAUGAGUAGCGAAAAGAAUGGUGAGAAUCCAUUCCACCGAAAGCAUAAGGAUUCCUGGGCAACGAUCGUCGUCCCAGGGUAAGUCGGGACCUAAUCCGAGGCAUGGAGCGUAGGAGAUGGACAACUGGCAGAUAUUCCAGUACCGGUAAUGAUUGUUUGAGCGAUGGAGUGACACAGGAGGGCAGGCAGGCAGGAGAUUGGUUGUUCCUGUACAAGCGUGUAGGAUGGGACGUAGGCAAAUCCGCGUCCUGUGAGUCUGAGGCGUGAUGUGGAGGUUCCGGAAACGGAACUGAAGCUGCUGACCCCACACUGUCGAGAAAAGCUUCUAGUUAGAGAAUUACCGCCCGUACCGUAAACCGACACAGGUAUGCGGGGAGAGAAUCCUAAGGUGCGCGGGAGAACCCUCGUUAAGGAACUCGGCAAAAUGUACCCGUAACUUCGGGAUAAGGGUAGCCGCUGUUGUGAAGUCUGAACAGACGGAGCAUGAGGCGGUCGCAGAGAAGAGGCCCAAGCGACUGUUUACCACAAACACAGGUGCCUGCUAAAGAGAAAUCUGACGUAUAGGUGCUGACACCUGCCCAGUGCCGGAAGGUUAAGGAAGGAUGUCCGGAGCAAUCCAAAGCAUUCGACCGAAGCCCCGGUGAACGGCGGCCGUAACUAUAACGGUCCUAAGGUAGCGAAAUUCCUUGUCGGGUAAG
Molecule: ribosomal RNA, 1978 nt
Filed under: human gut metagenome
Description: bacterial LSU rRNA
Rfam family: Bacterial large subunit ribosomal RNA
Source: RNAcentral